UUUUAUCACUCAAAUGAAUACAAACAGUGGCUAACUGAAUUAAAAAAAGGGGAAAUAGAAAAUGGAUGACCAUAGUACUUUUGGCCCAGCCCACACCCCCACUUACCCCCUUCCUCUCGCUACAGUACAGGAGGCAGGGCGUGGCAGCCAUCCUUGGCGCCAUGGCCAUGGUGGAAGCCAUCCACCACCUCCCCGGUGACCUACAAGUACCCCCCCCCCCCCCUUGGUCGAACCCUAACCUCUCCUCCCUCCCCCUCGUGCCGUAGCUCUUACCCUCGCAGACGCUCGAGCCCUCGGCGCCAUGGUCUCCGACGUCCACGUGCCUACCGAGCUCCCCGCGCCCAGCCACCUCGUCCGCGAGCUUUGUCGACGUACACUCCUUCGACUACAUCCACCAAUUUGAACCGGGAGCCCCUGCAUCGACGGGAUCGACGCCUUCUUAUUCCUCGGGCACCACCGCCUCCGUCGUCGAUCCGCCGCCUCUGCUGCUCCAAAGCCAUCGCCGAGCCACCCUUGUGCUCCCCGACCCCGAGAAUGAUGCUGCCCCUGUGAUCGACUACGCUGACGAUGACACUUCUUUUUCAGCAGAGCUUCCAG
Molecule: RNA transcript, 597 nt
Organism: Triticum aestivum (bread wheat)
Lineage: Eukaryota; Viridiplantae; Streptophyta; Magnoliopsida; Poales; Poaceae
Exons: 2
Source: RefSeq, a predicted model, not a curated record